Molecule: ribosomal RNA, 301 nt
Filed under: uncultured bacterium
Lineage: Bacteria
Description: partial 16S ribosomal RNA
Rfam family: Bacterial small subunit ribosomal RNA
Source: RNAcentral
CAGUAGCCGCGGGAAUACGUAGGUGGCAAGCGUUGUCCGGAAUUAUUGGGCGUAAAGGGCUCGCAGGCGGUUUCUUAAGUCUGAUGUGAAAGCCCCCGGCUCAACCGGGGAGGGUCAUUGGAAACUGGGAAACUUGAGUGCAGAAGAGGAGAGUGGAAUUCCACGUGUAGCGGUGAAAUGCGUAGAGAUGUGGAGGAACACCAGUGGCGAAGGCGACUCUCUGGUCUGUAACUGACGCUGAGGAGCGAAAGCGUGGGGAGCAAACAGGAUUAGAUACCCCAGUAGUCCCUGUCUCUUAUAU